Molecule: ribosomal RNA, 372 nt
Filed under: uncultured organism
Description: bacterial SSU rRNA
Rfam family: Bacterial small subunit ribosomal RNA
Source: RNAcentral
CGUAGGUGGCAAGCGUUGUCCGGAGUUACUGGGUGUAAAGGGCGUGUAGGCGGGAAGAUAAGUCAGAUGUGAAAUUCCAUGGCUCAACUGUGGCGCUGCAUCUGAAACUAUUUUUCUUGAGUGAUGGAGAGGAAAGCGGAAUUCCUAGUGUAGCGGUGAAAUGCGUAGAUAUUAGGAGGAACACCAGUGGCGAAGGCGGCUUUCUGGACAUUAACUGACGCUGAGGCGCGAAAGCGUGGGGAGCAAACAGGAUUAGAUACCCUGGUAGUCCACGCUGUAAACGAUGGAUACUAGGUGUAGGAGGUAUCGACCCCUUCUGUGCCGGAGUUAACACAAUAAGUAUCCUACCUGGGGAGUACGGCCGCAAGGUUG